Molecule: long non-coding RNA, 705 nt
Filed under: Brachypodium distachyon (stiff brome)
Lineage: Eukaryota; Viridiplantae; Streptophyta; Magnoliopsida; Poales; Poaceae
Description: long non-coding RNA (BDIS_LNC003159)
Source: RNAcentral
CGGUGGCAAGAUCGAAUAAACACAACGACUAGACUGGUAGUACACGAAAAAGGUUCGGGCUCCCGGGUCGUAUCUUCUUUCUUUUUUACGGGAAUCCCGACUCGUAUCAUGCGUCAUAAGCAUACACAAAAAAAAAACGUUAUUCAGUUGUCUAGACCUAAUUAGUUAACGGUAGUAAGAUGGAGGUGGUUAAACAAAAUAAGGGGGCAGCUCACUCCCAGAGCAGAGCACCGCGUGGAUGGUAAGCUGCGGUGGGUUCCAACCCAGCCCGCUUACCGUUUAAGUUUUUUUUUUUUACGAAAAGAGCAACGUGCUUUUCAUUGUCAAAGUGGUUGAGAAGAACUCAAGAAGUAAAUAGAAGAUUAAAAAGGAAGAAAACGAGAGGUAAAAAAAAACAGACACACCAAUCUAAGGAACAUCAUCAUUUGCAAAAAAAAUGGCACCUAGCCUUAAUCUAUCCGCCUCUCUCCAUAAUCUAGCGUCAUCCUGGAUGAGAUCAAUGAGAUCAACAACGGCCGACGCUAGGUGCCGAAAAGCUUUGAAGAUCCUACUAUUCCUCUUCCUACAGAUAUUCCAAAGGGUCAACAACAAGAGGGCAGUGGCCCCCUUGACCUCCGCCUUCGAGCAAUUAACAACAAUGGCACCCAUCCUGGCGCACCACCAUUAAUUCCUUGAUCGAGUAAGGUGCAGCCCACGUCGCCGGAU